This 254-nucleotide ribosomal RNA is filed under the name uncultured bacterium. RNAcentral's name for it is "partial 16S ribosomal RNA". It matches the Rfam family "Bacterial small subunit ribosomal RNA", at positions 524 to 776 of the family's 1533-position model. The record is from RNAcentral.
GACGUAGGGAGCAAGCGUUGUCCGGAUUUACUGGGCGUAAAGAGCGCGUAGGCGGCUCUGUAAGUGUGAAGUGAAAUCCCUAGGGCUCAACCCAGGAACUGCUUCGCAUACUGCAAAGCUUGAGGGUUGGAGAGGUGGAUGGAAUUCGUGGUGUAGCGGUGAAAUGCGUUGAUAUCACGAGGAACACCCGUGGCGAAGGCGGUCCACUGGCCAACAUCUGACGCUGAGGCGCGAAAGCGUGGGUAGCAAACAGG